RNAcentral lists this ribosomal RNA (253 nucleotides) under uncultured bacterium. Its description in RNAcentral is "partial 16S ribosomal RNA". It matches the Rfam family "Bacterial small subunit ribosomal RNA", at positions 524 to 776 of the family's 1533-position model. The record is from RNAcentral.
GACGAAGGGUGCAAGCGUUGUCCGGAUUCAUUGGGCUUAAAGGGCGCGUAGGCGGCCUUAUAAGUCAGUGGUGAAAUCUCUCGGCUUAACCGAGAAAUUGCCAUUGAUACUGUAGGGCUUGAGUAUAGUUGCCGUUGGCGGAAUAUGACAUGUAGUGGUGAAAUACAUAGAGAUGUCAUAGAACACCGAUUGCGAAGGCAGCUGACGAAACUAUAACUGACACUGAGGCUCGAAAGUGCGGGGAGCAAACAGG